CAAACAUUGAAGUCUGUGUGCCCUUUCUGGCAAAGCUUCAGUGCUAGAAUGAUGAUUUCAGCUUCUGUUUACACUGUAUUCAGCCAUGUGCUGUAUGCACUGCGUGCAUUAUCCUACAUGAUCCCUUGGACAACCCUACAGGAUAGGUGCUCCUGUGUCCGUUUCACAGACUAGGACACUAAGGUUCCCAUAAGUCCUGGCACCUGCAUGCUCACCGAGGCUGUCUCUGCCGCUCAUCUCCUGGGCCCAUUUCACAGAGGAAGACUCUAAAGCUCCUGUAAGUCCUGGCACCCGCCUGCUCGCCAAGGUAACAAACUAGAAGAGCGUCACAGCUUGUCCAGAGAGAAAGCUGAGCCCAUUGUCAAAAUCAGUACUGCAGCCUUUGCUGACUGUGACUAUUUAACAUCUCAACACACUGGGGGAUUAAUUACUUGAACAUUUGGGGGAAUAACAACAACUUGAAACUCAUAUUUUAACCUGUAUGUCAUGAAUAUUAACAAAGACAAAUUUAUAACUGACUUGACUAUUUUGUGUGUUUUUGCUUUUAAGAAACAGUUGGCUUCUGUAGGAAUGAACAAUAAGAAAUAACAAAAUUUAUUUGUUAGUAAAUUUUCCUCCAGUGAAUAUGCAUGCACCAGACUCACUGCAGCAAACUCAGUCGUCUUUGAAGGAUAAAACACAGAAAACCAUUUUGUUGUACAAUGAGAUGAGUUAUUUGAACUUAAGACAUGUUUUUUUUUCAUAAGUUUUUAUGAACUAGGUAUCGCAUGUCCCAUAAGGG
Molecule: long non-coding RNA, 781 nt
Filed under: Homo sapiens (human)
Lineage: Eukaryota; Metazoa; Chordata; Mammalia; Primates; Hominidae
Description: HSALNT0257874
Source: RNAcentral